Molecule: long non-coding RNA, 3262 nt
Filed under: Sus scrofa (pig)
Lineage: Eukaryota; Metazoa; Chordata; Mammalia; Artiodactyla; Suidae
Description: lncRNA (ENSSSCG00050068818.1)
Source: RNAcentral
ACUCUCAAGGAAAAUGUGGGCCACCCCCACCUAUAGACAAUGGAGACACUACCUCAUUCCCAUUACCAGUCUAUCCUCCGGGAUCAGUCGUCCAGUACCAAUGCCAGUCCUACUAUGAACUUGAGGGAAGCAGCUCCAUAAAAUGUGAGAAUGGACAGUGGUCAGAACCACCAAAAUGCUUAGAUGCAUGUGUAGUUUCAGAAGAAAUGAUGAGAAAACACAACAUAGAGCUAAAAUGGACAUCGGGUAAAAAACUUUAUUCCAGAACAGAUGAUACUAUUGAAUUUCGGUGUAGACAAGGAUUUUAUAGGAGGACGCCACUACAUACAUUCCGAGCAACCUGUCAGCAAGGCAAAGUGGCCUAUCCUACGUGUGGAUAAAACAGUGGUUAAAAUGCAGUCAUAAAACUGAAAUAGGUACAUUUACUCAGAGUUUGUCAUUAUUAAUCCAGUUCUCCAUUUAUUUGAUCGACUAUUAUUGUUUAACUCAUCUUUAUUCAGAAAUCAGCAUUUGUGUUGAAUAGUAUGUGGAUGUUGUAAUUAUAAUCUGGGAAACCAAUGAAUUACUUCUUUAGAGCAUCUCAUUAAACUUGGCAAAUCAAAAUGCUACGUGUCCUAUUCAUACAACGUCUAUGUAAGAAAUUAGAUGCAAAAACUUGAGCGUCUCCCUCCAACCAUCAUUCUCCUGACUUUCUCAAAGCUUUCAGCAUAACUUCUGAGGCUUCCUGGCACUCCAUUUCAGAGGAUAUGGAAAAGAAUACUUGUCUCCAUUCAAAACUAAUAUCAGUUCACAAAUAAGUAAAAAGAAAAUUGUGCCAUACCUGUAUUAAUAAUAAGAUGUAAGUGGGUAUUACUUUUGCUUAUCUAUCCAUAGAAAAUACACCAACACUUGAUGAAAUUCAUGAUUUUCUGCAAGAUUCCUCUGCAGAACACAUAAUCAUUUGAUCACAUCAUAAAGAGGAAUUAAAAACAAGUUGGAAGCAUAAAUAUAACAUGAUAUAAUGAGUAAUUUUAAAAAUCCAACAUCAAGUAUAAACACACACACAUAUACCAACACACUAUGCUUUAAAAUCAAUGCACUUUAGAGAAAAAAUAUUGUCAGGAAGUAUAAUAGAACAUUUCAAAUAACCAUAGUCGACUUUAGACCCUCUUAAGGGGUUCCUAUAUCCUCAAAUUUUUCUAUCUUUAAUGUAUAUCACCUGUGAAACAAAGAUUAUGUUAUUUUGAAAUAAAGACAUGUACAGAGUAAGACAAUAUGUGUUUGGACAAUAGAGCCCACUUUGGUAACUGUCUUCAGGUCUAGUAACAUUUUCAUGAUUUUGCUGUUACAAAGAAUUUGGGGACUAUUCAACCAGAGGAGUCUGAAAUUUGAUUUUUAUGCUCAUUCAUUUCAAACAGCAUAGUCAGUUUAAAUCAAUGGACUAUAAUCCAAUAAUACAUUAAAAGGAUUGUACAUCAUGAUCAAGUGGGAUUUAUCCCAGGGAUGCAAGGCUUCUUCACUAUCCAUGCAUCCAUCAGUGUGAUACACCGCAUUAACAAACUGAGGAAUGAAAACCAUAUGAUCCUCUCCAUAGAUGCAGAAAAAGCCUUGGAGUUCCCGUCGUGGCGCAGCGGUUAACGAAUCCGACUAGGAACCGUGAGAUUGCGGGUUCGAUCCCUGGCCUUGCUCAGUGGGUUAAGGAUCCAGCGUUGCCAUGAGCUGUGGUGUAGGUUGCAGAUGCGGCUCGGAUCCCACGUUGCUGUGGGUCUGGCGUAGGCCUGUGACUACAGCUCCAAUUCGACCCCUAGCCCGAGAACCUCCACAUGCCACGGGAGUNGGGGAAAAAAAAAAAAAAAAAAAAAAAAAAAAAAAAAAAAAAAAAAAAAAAAAAAAAAAAAAAAAAGAAAGAAAGAAAAAGAAAAAGCCUUUGACAAAUCCAACACCCAUUUCUGAUAAAAACCCUUCAGAAAGUGGGCAUAACAGGAACCUACCUCAACAUAAUAAAGGCCAUAUGUGGCAAAGCCACAGAGAACAUCAUUCCCAUUGGUGAAAAGCUGAAGGAAUUUCCCCUGACAUCAGGAAGAAGACAAGGAUGUCCGCUCUCACCACUACUCUUCAACAUAGUUUUGGAAGUCCUAGCCAUGGCAAGCAGAGAAGUAAAAGAAAUAAAAGGAAUCAAAUUGGAAAGGAAGAAGUAAAACUAUCACUAUUUGCAGAUGACAUGACACUAUACCUAGAGAAUCCUGAAGACUGUUUGAGCUCAUCCAUGAAUUUGGUAAAGUCACAGGAUACAAAAUUAAUACACAGAAAUCGACAGCAUUUCUAUACAUGAAAGAGCAGAAAGAGAAAUUAGGGAAGCAAUCUCAUUUAACAUUGCAUCCAAAAGAAAAAAUACCUAGGAGUAAACCUACCUAAAGAGACAAAAGACCUGUACUCUGAAAACUACUUGACACUGAAGAAAGAAAUCAAAGAUGACCCAAAUAGAUGGAAAGCUAUACCGUGCUCUUGGAUUGGAAGAGUCAAUACCAUCAAAAUGACUACACUACCCAAGACAAUCUACAGAUUCAAUGCAAUCCUUAUCAAAUCACCAAGGACAUUUUUCACAGAACUCGAACGAAAUACUUUAAAGUUUGUUUGGAAGCACAAAAGACCCAGAAGAGCCAAAGACAUCCUGAAAAAGAAAAAUGGAGCUGGAGGAUUCAGGCGCCUUGACUUCAGACUAUACUACAAAGCAACAAUCAUCAAAACCAUAUGGUACUGGCACAAAGACAGACAUAUAGAUCAGUGGAACGGGAUAAGAAAGCCCAGAAUUAAACCCACGGACCUACAGCCAGCUCAUCUAUGAAAAAAGAGGCAAGAAUAUACAGUGGAGAAAGGACAGCUUGUGCAAUAAGUGGUGCUAGGAAAACUGGACAGCCACAUGGAAAAGAAUGAAAUGAGAACACUCCCUAACACCACACACACAAAUAAACUCCAAAUGGAUUAAAGACCUAGAUAUAAGACCAGACACUAUAAAACUCUUAGAGGAAAACAUAGGCCAAACAUAGACAUAAACGACAGCAACAUCUUCUCAGAUCUACCUCUUAGAGUAUUGACAAUAAAAACAAACAUAAACAAAUGGGACCUAAUCAAACUUACAAGUUUCUGCACAGCGAAGGAAACCCUAAACAAAACGAAAAGACAACCCACAGAAUGGGAGAAUAUCUUUGCAAGUGCAUCAACUGACAAGGGAUUAAUCUCCAAAAUUUAUAAACACCUUCUGCAGCUCCAUACCAAAAAAAAA